AUUGAACGCUGGCGGCAUGCUUUACACAUGCAAGUCGAGCGGCAGCGCGGCCUUCGGGCUGGCGGCGAGCGGCGAACGGGUGAGUAAUGCAUCGGAACAUGCCCAGUCGUGGGGGAUAACACUUCGAAAGAAGUGCUAAUACCGCAUACGUCCUGAGGGGGAAAGCGGGGGAUCGCAAGACCUCGCGCGAUUGGAGUGGCCGAUGUCAGAUUAGCUAGUUGGUGGGGUAAAGGCCUACCAAGGCGACGAUCUGUAGCUGGUCUGAGAGGAUGAUCAGCCACACUGGGACGGAGACACGGCCCAGACUCCUACGGGAGGCAGCAGUGGGGAAUUUUGGACAAUGGGGGCAACCCUGAUCCAGCCAUUCCGCGUGAGUGAAGAAGGCCUUCGGGUUGUAAAGCUCUUUCGGCAGGAACGAAACGGUGUGCUCUAACAUAGUCCGCUAAUGACGGUACCUGAAGAAGAAGCACCGGCUAACUACGUG
Molecule: ribosomal RNA, 484 nt
Filed under: uncultured bacterium
Lineage: Bacteria
Description: partial 16S ribosomal RNA
Rfam family: Bacterial small subunit ribosomal RNA
Source: RNAcentral